RNAcentral lists this ribosomal RNA (2914 nucleotides) under Lactiplantibacillus plantarum. Its description in RNAcentral is "23S ribosomal RNA". It matches the Rfam family "Bacterial large subunit ribosomal RNA". Lineage: Bacteria; Bacillati; Bacillota; Bacilli; Lactobacillales; Lactobacillaceae. The record is from RNAcentral.
AGGUUAAGUUAACAAGGGCGCAUGGUGAAUGCCUUGGCACUAGGAGCCGAUGAAGGACGGGACUAACACCGAUAUGCUUCGGGGAGCUGUACGUAAGCUAUGAUCCGGAGAUUUCCGAAUGGGGCAACCCAGCAGUUUUAAUCAACUGUUACCACUAGAUGAAUUCAUAGUCUAGUUGGAGGUAAACGCUGUGAACUGAAACAUCUCAUUAGCAGCAGGAAUAUAAAGAAAUUUCGAUUCCCUAAGUAGCGGCGAGCGAACGGGGAACAGCCCAAACCAAAGUGCUUGCACUUUGGGUUGUAGGACUGAACAUUUGAGUUACCAAAGAACUUGAUAGUCGAAGGAUUUGGGAAAAUCCGCCAUAGAUGGUGAUAGCCCAGUAGAUUAAAUCAAAUUCUCUCAGUUCAGGAUCCUGAGUACGGCGGAACACGUGAAAUUCCGUCGGAAUCCGGGAGGACCAUCUCCCAAGGCUAAAUACUACCUAGUGACCGAUAGUGAACCAGUACCGUGAGGGAAAGGUGAAAAGCACCCCGGGAGGGGAGUGAAAUAGUUCCUGAAACCAUGUGCCUACAAUAAGUCAGAGCGCGUUAAUGCGUGAUGGCGUGCCUUUUGUAGAAUGAACCGGCGAGUUAUGAUCCCGUGCAAGGUUAAGACUAAAAAGUCGGAGCCGUAGCGAAAGCGAGUCUGAAAUGGGCGUUUUGAGUACGAGGUUAUAGACCCGAAACCAGGUGACCUAUCCAUGUCCAGGUUGAAGGUGCGGUAAAACGCACUGGAGGACCGAACCCGUGUAAGUUGAAAAUUGCUGGGAUGAGGUGUGGAUAGCGGUGAAAUUCCAAACGAACUUGGAGAUAGCUGGUUCUCUCCGAAAUAGCUUUAGGGCUAGCCUCGGAAUUAGGAUCAUGGAGGUAGAGCACUAUUUGGACUAGGGGCCCGUCUUGGGUUACUGAAUUCAGAUAAACUCCGAAUGCCAUUGAUUCAUAUCCGGGAGUCAGACGAUGAGUGAUAAGAUCCACCGUCGAAAGGGGAACAGCCCAGACCAUCAGUUAAGGUCCCUAAAUGUAUGCUAAGUGGAAAAGGAUGUGGAGUUGCAUAGACAACUAGGAUGUUGGCUCAGAAGCAGCCACCAUUUAAAGAGUGCGUAAUAGCUCUAGUCGAGUGAUCCUGCGCCGAAAAUGUACCGGGGCUAAGCAUACUACCGAAACCAUGGAUGCGACCAUUAGGUCGCGUGAUAGGAGAGCGUUCUAAGGGCGGUGAAGCAAGAUCGUGAGGACUUGUGGAGCGCUUAGAAGUGAGAAUGCCGGUAUGAGUAGCGAAAGAUAGGUGAGAAUCCUAUCCACCGAAUGACUAAGGUUUCCUGGGGAAGGCUCGUCCUCCCAGGGUUAGUCGGGACCUAAGUCGAGGCCGAGAGGCGUAGACGGAUAACAGGUUGAGAUUCCUGUACUAGUUAAGUGCGUUUGAGCAAUGGAGGGACGCAGGAGGCUAAGAUGUGCAUUCUGUUGGAUUAGAAUGUCCAAGCAGUAAGUCUUGUGAAGAGUCAAAUGCUUUUCACUUUAAGGACAAGCUGUGAUGGGGAGCGAAAUUUAGUAGCGAAGCGUCUGAUGUCACACUGCCGAGAAAAGCUUCUAGUGAGUACUUAACUACCCGUACCGCAAACCGACACAGGUAGUCGAGGAGAGAAUCCUAAGGUGAGCGAGUGAACUCUCGUUAAGGAACUCGGCAAAAUGACCCCGUAACUUCGGGAGAAGGGGUGCUGAUCGCAAGAUCAGCCGCAGUGAAUAGGCCCAGGCGACUGUUUAUCAAAAACACAGGUCUCUGCAAAAAUCGUAAGAUGACGUAUAGGGGCUGACGCCUGCCCGGUGCUGGAAGGUUAAAAGGAUGGGUUAGCUUCGGCGAAGCUCAGAAUUGAAGCCCCAGUAAACGGCGGCCGUAACUAUAACGGUCCUAAGGUAGCGAAAUUCCUUGUCGGGUAAGUUCCGACCCGCACGAAAGGCGUAACGAUCUGGGCACUGUCUCAACGAGAGACUCGGUGAAAUUAUAUUGUCCGUGAAGAUGCGGACUACCCGCGACAGGACGGAAAGACCCCAUGGAGCUUUACUGUAGCUUGAUAUUGAGUGUUUGUACAGCUUGUACAGGAUAGGUAGGAGCCAUAGAAACCGGAACGCUAGUUUCGGUGGAGGCGUUGGUGGGAUACUACCCUCGCUGUAUGACCACUCUAACCCGCACCACUAAUCGUGGUGGGAGACAGUGUCAGGUGGGCAGUUUGACUGGGGCGGUCGCCUCCUAAAAAGUAACGGAGGCGCCCAAAGGUUCCCUCAGAAUGGUUGGAAAUCAUUCGCAGAGUGUAAAGGCACAAGGGAGCUUGACUGCGAGACAGACAGGUCGAGCAGGGACGAAAGUCGGGCUUAGUGAUCCGGUGGUACCGUAUGGAAGGCCAUCGCUCAACGGAUAAAAGCUACCCUGGGGAUAACAGGCUUAUCUCCCCCAAGAGUCCACAUCGACGGGGAGGUUUGGCACCUCGAUGUCGGCUCAUCGCAUCCUGGGGCUGUAGUCGGUCCCAAGGGUUGGGCUGUUCGCCCAUUAAAGCGGUACGCGAGCUGGUUCAGAACGUCGUGAGACAGUUCGGUCCCUAUCCGUCGGGCGUAGGAAAUUUGAGAGGACCUGUCCUUAGUACGAGAGGACCGGGAUGGACAUACCUCUGGUGUACCAGUUGUGCCGCCAGGCGCAUCGCUGGGUAGCUACGUAUGGAUGUGAUAAACGCUGAAAGCAUCUAAGUGUGAAACACACCUCGAGAUGAGAUUUCCCAUUCCUUUAUGGAAGUAAGACCCCUGAAAGAUGAUCAGGUAGAUAGGUUAGAAGUGGCAGUGCGGUGACGCAUGAAGCGGACUAAUACUAAUCGGUCGAGGACUUAACCAAG